UACGACCACUAGGGGAGCCUUCGGCUGAGAAUGAACAAUCUGUUCUAGACCCUUUGAACCUGUUAGUUAAUGCUUGCGUAGGGAUGUGGCUUGAUCGUUUA
Molecule: non-coding RNA, 101 nt
Filed under: Bacillus sp. (in: firmicutes)
Lineage: Bacteria; Bacillati; Bacillota; Bacilli; Caryophanales; Bacillaceae
Also listed under: 1 other name
Description: Bacillus sp. TPP sequence
Rfam family: TPP riboswitch aptamer (THI element)
About the family: Vitamin B(1) in its active form thiamin pyrophosphate (TPP) is an essential coenzyme that is synthesised by coupling of pyrimidine and thiazole moieties in bacteria. The previously detected thiamin-regulatory element, thi box was extended, resulting in a new, highly conserved RNA secondary structure, the THI element, which is widely distributed in eubacteria and also occurs in some archaea. Analysis of operon structures identified a large number of new candidate thiamin-regulated genes, mostly transporters, in various prokaryotic organisms.
Source: RNAcentral